CCUACGGGAGGCAGCAGUGGGGAAUAUUGGGCAAUGGGCGCAAGCCUGACCCAGCAACGCCGCGUGAAGGAAGAAGGCUUUCGGGUUGUAAACUUCUUUUCUGAGGGACGAAGAAAGUGACGGUACCUCAGGAAUAAGCCACGGCUAACUACGUGCCAGCAGCCGCGGUAAUACGUAGGUGGCAAGCGUUAACCGGAUUUAUUGGGUGUAAAGGGGGUGUAGGCGGGGAAGCCAGUCAGAUGUGAAAACUCAGGGCCCAACCCUGAGCCUGGAAUUGAAACUGGUUUUCUUGAGUGCCGGAGAGGCAAUCGGGAAUUCGGGGGGAGCCGUGAAA
This 334-nucleotide ribosomal RNA is filed under the name uncultured bacterium. RNAcentral's name for it is "partial 16S ribosomal RNA". It matches the Rfam family "Bacterial small subunit ribosomal RNA", at positions 338 to 686 of the family's 1533-position model. The record is from RNAcentral.